GGUAGCGUGGCCGAGCGGUUCUAAGGCGCAGAUUUAAGGCGCCAGUCUUACCGAAAACGUGGUUUCGUAUCCCACCGCUGCCA
Molecule: non-coding RNA, 83 nt
Organism: Trichonephila clavipes
Lineage: Eukaryota; Metazoa; Arthropoda; Arachnida; Araneae; Nephilidae
Source: the annotation of a GenBank genome assembly